Molecule: ribosomal RNA, 497 nt
Filed under: uncultured bacterium
Lineage: Bacteria
Description: partial 16S ribosomal RNA
Rfam family: Bacterial small subunit ribosomal RNA
Source: RNAcentral
GAUGAACGCUGGCGGCGUGCCUAAUACAUGCAAGUCGAGCGAACAGACGAGGAGCUUGCUCCUCUGACGUUAGCGGCGGACGGGUGAGUAACACGUGGAUAACCUACCUAUAAGACUGGGAUAACUUCGGGAAACCGGAGCUAAUACCGGAUAAUAUAUUUAACCGCAUGGUUCAAUAGUGAAAUACGGUUUUGCUGUCACUUAUAGAUGUAUCCGCGCCUCAUUAGCUAGUUGGUAAGGUAACGGCUUACCAAGGCAACGAUGCGUAGCCGACCUGAGAGGGUGAGCGGCCACACUGGAACUGAGACACGGUCCAGACUCCUACGGGAGGCAGCAGUAGGGAAUAUUCCGAAAUGGGCGAAAGCAUGACGGAGCAACGCCGCGUGAGUGAUGAAGGUCUUCGGAUCGUAAAACUCUGUUAUUAGGGAAGAAAAAAUGUGUAAGUAACUAUGCACGUCUUGACGGUACCUAAUCAGAAAGCCACGGCUAACUACGUG